UACGUAGGGUGCGAGCGUUAAUCGGAAUUACUGGGCGUAAAGCGUGCGCAGGCGGUUUUGUAAGCCAGAUGUGAAAGCCCCGGGCUCAACCUGGGAACAGCGCUUGAGACUGGCACGCUCGAGUUCGGGAGAGGAUGGUGGAAUUCCCAGUGUAGAGGUGAAAUUCGUAGAUAUUGGGAAGAACACCGAUGGCGAAGGCAGCCAUCUGGACCGACACUGACGCUGAGGCGCGAAAGCGUGGGGAGCAAACAGG
RNAcentral lists this ribosomal RNA (253 nucleotides) under uncultured bacterium. RNAcentral's name for it is "partial 16S ribosomal RNA". It matches the Rfam family "Bacterial small subunit ribosomal RNA", at positions 524 to 776 of the family's 1533-position model. The record is from RNAcentral.